GAUGAACGCUGACAGAAUGCUUAACACAUGCAAGUCAACUUGAAUUUGGGUUUUUAACUUAGGUUUGGGUGGCGGACGGGUGAGUAACGCGUAAAGAACUGCCUCCGGUAAGGGCCACCAUUUGGAAACGAAUGCUAAUACCUAAUAUUAUGAUUAUAUGGCAUCCUAUAAUUAUGAAAGCUAAAAGCGCUGUGAGAGAGCUUUGCGUCCCAUUAGCUAGUUGGAGAGGUAACGGCUCACCAAGGCGAUGAUGGGUAGCCGGCCUGAGAGGGUGAUCGGCCACAAGGGGACUGAGACACGGCCCUUACUCCUACGGGAGGCAGCAGUGGGGAAUAUUGGACAAUGGACCAAGAGUCUGAUCCAGCAAUUCUGUGUGCACGAUGAAGUUUUUCGGAAUGUAAAGUGCUUUCAGUUGGGAAGAAAGAAAUGACGGUACCAACAGAAAA
RNAcentral lists this ribosomal RNA (446 nucleotides) under Fusobacterium naviforme. Its description in RNAcentral is "bacterial SSU rRNA". It matches the Rfam family "Bacterial small subunit ribosomal RNA", at positions 28 to 488 of the family's 1533-position model. The record is from RNAcentral. Lineage: Bacteria; Fusobacteriati; Fusobacteriota; Fusobacteriia; Fusobacteriales; Fusobacteriaceae.